UACGGAGGGUGCAAGCGUUAUCCGGAUUCACUGGGUUUAAAGGGUGCGUAGGCGGACAGGUAAGUCCGUGGUGAAAUCCUGCAGCUUAACUGCAGAACUGCCAUGGAUACUAUCUAUCUUGAAUGUCGUGGAGGUUAGCGGAAUAUGUCAUGUAGCGGUGAAAUGCUUAGAGAUGACAUAGAACACCCAUUGCGAAGGCAGCUAACUACGCGAUAAUUGACGCUGAUGCACGAAAGCGUGGGGGAUCAAACAGG
Molecule: ribosomal RNA, 254 nt
Filed under: uncultured bacterium
Lineage: Bacteria
Description: partial 16S ribosomal RNA
Rfam family: Bacterial small subunit ribosomal RNA
Source: RNAcentral